GUGAACGCUGGCGGUAGGCCUAACACAUGCAAGUCGAACGGCAGCACAGUAAGAGCUUGCUCUUACGGGUGGCGAGUGGCGGACGGGUGAGGAAUACAUCGGAAUCUACUUUUUCGAGGGGGAUAACGGAGGGAAACUAACGCUAAUACCGCAUACGACCUACGGGUGAAAGCAGGGGAUCUUCGGACCUUGCGCGAUUGAAUGAGCAGAUGUCGGAUUAGCUAGUUGGCGGGGUAAAGGCCCACCAAGGCGACGAUCCGUAGCUGAUCUGAGAGGAUGAUCAGCCACACUGGAACUGGGACACGGUCCAUACUCCUGCGGGAGGCCGCAGUGGGGAAUAUUCGACGAUGGGCGCAAGUCUGAUCCAGCCCUACCGCGUGGGUCAAGAAGGCCUUCGGGUUGUAAAGCCCUUUUGUUGUUAAAGAAAAUCAGCAGGUUAAUACCCCGCUGUUCUGACGGUACCCUAUGAAUAAGCACCGGCUAACUUCGUG
Molecule: ribosomal RNA, 491 nt
Filed under: uncultured bacterium
Lineage: Bacteria
Description: partial 16S ribosomal RNA
Rfam family: Bacterial small subunit ribosomal RNA
Source: RNAcentral